CCUACGGGUGGCAGCAGUGGGGGAUAUUGCACAAUGGGGGAAACCCUGAUGCAGCGACGCCGCGUGUGGGAAGACUGUCCUCUGGAUUGUAAACCACUGUCCCCAGGGACGAAAAUGACGGUACCUGGGGAGGAAGCUCCGGCUAACUACGUGCCAGCAGCCGCGGUAAUACGUAGGGAGCGAGCGUUGUCCGGAAUUACUGGGGGAAAGGGGAGCGUAGGCGGGGAUGCAAGUUGGGGGGAAAAACUACCGGCUCAACUGGUAGUCGCACUCAAAACUGCAGCUCUUGAGUGAAGGAGAGGCAGGCGGAAUUCCUAGUGUAGCGGUGAAAUGCGUAGAUAUUAGGAGGAACACCAGUGGCGAAGGCGGCCUGCUGGGCUUUUACUGACGCUGAGGCUCGAAAGUGUGGGGAGCAAACAGGAUUAGAUACCCGGGUAGUC
This 440-nucleotide ribosomal RNA is filed under the name uncultured bacterium. RNAcentral's name for it is "partial 16S ribosomal RNA". It matches the Rfam family "Bacterial small subunit ribosomal RNA", at positions 338 to 795 of the family's 1533-position model. The record is from RNAcentral.